Molecule: non-coding RNA, 1327 nt
Organism: Balearica regulorum gibbericeps (East African grey crowned-crane)
Lineage: Eukaryota; Metazoa; Chordata; Aves; Gruiformes; Gruidae
Source: the annotation of a RefSeq genome assembly
AUGUUGACCGCCCUCCACCUCAAAAAUUUAAUGAGGUUCUUCUCUUCCACAGUCACGGCCACCGCUCCUGCCGUCUACCCGUUGAUCUCCUGCGACUGCGGGGACUGCGAGGACAACAAGAACGUCAGCUUCGGUUGCUUGGCCAACGAUUUCUUCCCCGAACCCGUCGCCAUCACGUGGGUUUCCAGCGUCAAAGGAGACAGCGAGACCUUCCCGGUCAUCCAGGGUGGAAACAGUUACUACAGCCUCAGCAGCCAGUUGACCGUCCCGGUCAGCAGCUUGGAAGGCAACAGCUUCCAGUGCAAGGUGGUCCACAGCGCCACCUCCACCACCGUCACCGAGGACAUCCCAGGUGAGAAAGAUGAUGUUUGCUGCUCUGACCCCCUGAGGACAAAGCUCCUGGGCGACCCAAACCAGUACCAUGACGAGGGAAAGGUCCUUCUGCUGUGCCUCGUCGAGGGGAAUAAAGCUGGUGACGCCCAGGUGGAAUGGUUGGUGAACCACGAGGUGGCGGACCUGCCCCAGGAGGACAACACCUGUGACCAGUGCUCCAAGGAGAAGGCCACGCUUACGAGCAAGGUCAACGUCAGCCAGCAGAGCUGGAACAACGGAGCCGAGUUCUCCUGCAGAGUGACCCACUCGUCGUUGAAGACACCUUUCGUCCUCAACAUCAGCACCUUCUGCUCAGUCAGCGUGGGGGUGGAGGUCACCAUCAUCCCCCCAUCCUUGGAGGACCUCUACCUCAGCCAGAACGCCAGCGUCACCUGCGUGGCCACCAACCUGAAAUCGUACGAGGAGGUGAAGUUCUCCUGGAGCCGGGAUCAAGGCAAGGCCUUGGAUGUGACCUCUGGGACGCCGGAGAAGCUGGAGAACGGUCUUUACCGUCUCACCAGCACCUUGAAGAUCUGCGCCGACGAGUGGAACUCCGGGGAGAAGUUCACCUGCAGCGUCAACGGUCCCGAGCUUGAUGGACCCAUCAGCAAGUCCGUUAAGAAAGACAUAGACGUCUCCGUGAAGGCACCUUCCGUCUACGUCUUCCCCCCACCGGCCGAAGAACUGGCCCGUCAAGAAACGGCCACUUUGACCUGUUUGAUUUUGGGUUUCCGGCCUCAUGACAUUUUGGUGACCUGGACCCAAGAAGACCGUCCCGUUUCUCCCAGUAGUUUCUCCAUCUUUGGUCCUCAAGAAGAAGGAGAUACCUACACGGUCUACAGCAAGUUGAACGUGCCGGUGAGCGAAUGGCAACGGGGCGAUUCCUUCGCUUGCGUGGUGGGUCACGACGGCGUCCCCAUGAACUUCAUCCAGAAGAAUUUGGACAAGACCAUCG